AAAAUAUCGAAGUCGAAGACCAUAUAAGAUUUUUUUUUUGGCCAACAAUAACUAAUCUGCUACGAAAUACUCACCGAUUCGGAAUGAUCAUAUAAGAUCAAACUUCAAAGUAUGGUGAUAUGUUAAUGUCUGCACUAAAUCUAUCCGCUUAUUUUAUUAACGUUUUAACCUAAAAUAUUUAAAAACUAUAAAGUCUUGCAUCCGUAAUUACCCAGCUAAAUUCAUGAAAUUGAAUUUGAUUAAAGUCUUUAAUUAUUUGAAUAGUCUUAAAAGAUGGUACAUAGCUGAUGUAAAAAAGCGCGUUCUUGAAGAGAACAGGAAGUCGUACAAGCUUUUAGUCAAAAAAAAAAAGUCGUACAAGCUUAAUACUUCAAUGUUUUUUUAUUCGCGAGACGGUUGAUUAUGUCUGCUUAAAACUAUAUAUAUACUCACUGCUGGUCAAGACAAGAACAACAACGAAACAAUGACAAAGAUUCUUCUAAGCUUGCUCCAUAUACUUUUAUGUGUGUCUUUACAUGGUGUGGCAGAGGCUAGUUUCAGUCACCUAGGUGUUGCAAAAUGGACAAAAAGGAUAGGCGUAGGACCUUCCCCACCUUGUGGAGCUCCUCCUUCUAGGGGACGAGGAGAGCCUCGUCAUAAAAGACAAACAGAAAAGCCUUGUAGACGCGUUCCUCCGAGACCUCCUCGUCUACCUUAACUUGUGCUUUCGCUACAAGUUAGAAACGUUGAAUAUGUACCUAUUCAUUCACGGAUAUAAUGUAAUUUCAAUCACUAUAUAAUAAACAUGUAACGUGAAAAAAAUAAAUGCACGAAGUGAUAACGCUAUCGUUAUAAUUUCUUUCAAAAAACCAUGUAUACAUGAUAAAAAAUAUAAUAAAACGAUAAUUGGCAGCUACAGUGAUCGGCGGGAUAGUUGGCAGCUAUGUCGGGAUAGGCUUUGCAUCCUACGGUGUGAUUUUCGUGUUGCGUGUGUGACAGGCAGGUGAAGUCAUGAUUACCUUGGUGUCUGGGUUCCUAACCGGGCCUUUACUUUCUUCCUCUACUCCUCAGUCCUAGGCCGAUUCAACUCAUAGGCCUAGACGGAUCUUGAUUACCUUGGUGUAAACGAUUUAUCAAAGAUUUCAAUAAUUUUUUUAAAAAAAGUUUAAAACCUAUUUCUAUGCAAUUUUCUUCAAAAAUGUUAGGGAUUAUAGAUCAAUGCUUGACUGGUCUGCCCAGGACCGGCCUUGAAUAUCAGUGCCGUCCCUUCAAAGCAUGUGAAGCAUUAGAUUUAGGUCACAAAUUAGUUUUGAAGGCCACUUUUUUAUGCUUUCUUAGUAAUAUAAUAGAUACGUAAUGUGUUGAUCUCUUAGCAAUAUUAAGCUUGAUUCUCUUAAUUUCGUCCUUUAGAAAAACAUUUACAUUUGACAGUCUCUGUAUGAUUUUUUUAUUAUCUUCAGUUCAGUACAAACUUUUGAUUCAUGCAUAUGCUUUACAGCAAUUAGUUAAGAUAUUUAUAUUUGUACGCUGAGAAAUAUAAUUUUUGCCUUUAGGCCACCAAAAUUACGGGGACGGCACUGUUGAAUAUCAUAUAUUCUUAAACAUUAUUACUAUUGUAAUAUACCAUAUCUAACAACUAUUAAGAACCACCAGAGAGGCAUGUCAUGCAGAGUGAGCGGAUGAGUUUUAGAGGCGAGGAUGGCCAGAGCGCCCUCUAUUCUUUAAAAAAUCUGGGAUCUCUAUGGAAUUGCCUUCUGUAAAAGAUCACAGAAUGGCGCGUUAUUACUCUCAUUGAUGCAUCAGCUUAUGUAGCCGGUUCUUUUAUAUAUGGAGUUCAAAGGGAUAGCAAUCCAAUACUUAAAACAUUAUGAUGUAAGCCUUUACUAUGUUCAAAGGGAUCACAGUUUACGUAAAUCAUGACAUAAAGAUAUAUUUUAACAUUAUAUGUUCGUCACAAAAAAGUUUCAGUUUUAAUAUUACAAAUAAACAGUAUAACGUUCACAACAAACACAUCUAACUAUUUACAAAUGAAUUAGCAACGGAAAACGGUAUAGCACCCCUCCACUCAAAUUAACCUUAGAGCCAAAUCUCUCAAAUAAGAUAUCAAUUGUAGUAUUUAGGAAUUAAAUCCAGACGGAGUAGAGCACACAAUAGAUUAGACUAUAUAUAAGAAAUAAGAAAUAAGUAUUAAAUACGGUAAAUAAUUGAUAAAACAGUAAACAAAAUAGAUGUGGUUU
Molecule: long non-coding RNA, 2216 nt
Organism: Brassica napus (rape)
Lineage: Eukaryota; Viridiplantae; Streptophyta; Magnoliopsida; Brassicales; Brassicaceae
Exons: 2
Source: RefSeq, a predicted model, not a curated record